GGAUUGUGGCUUAGUGGUAGAGCGCUUGUCUAGCACAUGUGAGGCACUGGUUUCUAUCCCCAGUACCA
Molecule: transfer RNA, 68 nt
Filed under: Marmota monax (woodchuck)
Lineage: Eukaryota; Metazoa; Chordata; Mammalia; Rodentia; Sciuridae
Description: tRNA.Ala
Source: RNAcentral